Molecule: ribosomal RNA, 443 nt
Filed under: uncultured Wollea sp.
Lineage: Bacteria; Bacillati; Cyanobacteriota; Cyanophyceae; Nostocales; Nostocaceae
Description: bacterial SSU rRNA
Rfam family: Bacterial small subunit ribosomal RNA
Source: RNAcentral
CCUACGGGUGGCAGCAGUGGGGAAUUUUCCGCAAUGGGCGAAAGCCUGACGGAGCAAUACCGCGUGAGGGAGGAAGGCUCUUGGGUCGUAAACCUCUUUUCUCAGGGAAGAAGAAAGUGACGGUACCUGAGGAAGAAGCAUCGGCUAACUCCGUGCCAGCAGCCGCGGUAAUACGGAGGAUGCAAGCGUUAUCCGGAAUGAUUGGGCGUAAAGGGUCCGCAGGUGGUGCUGUAAGUCUGCUGUUAAAGAGUCACGCUUAACGUGAUAAAAGCAGUGGAAACUACAGGACUAGAGUGCAUUCGGGGCAGAAGGAAUUCCUGGUGUAGCGGUGAAAUGCGUAGAUAUCAGGAAGAACAUCGGUGGCGAAAGCGUUCUGCUAGGCUGCAACUGACACUGAGGGACGAAAGCUAGGGGAGCGAAUGGGAUUAGAUACCCCAGUAGUC